UCUUUUUUUUUUUUUUGGUCACUCUUUAUAUAUUAUCCCUUUUUACAGAUGAGAAAAUGGAGUCUUGGAAGGCAAAGUGACACCAUGCUGGAAGAAGAGCAGAGAGGAAUUGGAACCCACUCAGGACCUUGGAAAUCUUCAUCUUUCUGGAAGGGCCAACCAGGCAUUCAUCCUUGGCCUCCACUGGCUCCUUCUCUGUCUCCAAAGAUUUUAAAUAACGUGGCAGGCAAGGCUGCCUGAAGGCUGGGACAAGCGAUGGUCCCUGGGCUCCUCCCCAGAGCUCGACUUCUCCUACGCUGGAGCUGUCUCCACAGGCCCCCCUGUGUACAGUGCAGGAUUGGAAGGAGCACUGGACGGGGAGUCAGUGGAGCAGAUCAUUGAACCUCCUGAUCCGUGGAAGGUGGCUGCUUGCAAAGUUCUGAUGACAUCACAUGGAUGUGUGUUGGCCGGGUAUUCCCUGGGGAAUGAGCUUAGCGCGGAAGCAGAAGAGUUGCAUUUUCUAAACCACCAGCUAAGUGGCAGCUAGACUACAUUGCUAGCCUCCCUUGUAGACAGCGACCUUGGGCCACUUGGCUGAGUUCUGGCCAGCGGAAUGUGGGUAGAAGUGAUGACUGGCGUGCCCACACCUGGCCUGUGACACCUCCUACGCAACAUCCCGUCUGCCGCCCUGUUUUCUGCCAGCCGAAUGAAGAGGAUCCAACAGAGAACUCCGAGGCCCUAGGAGACUGGGGAGGACAAGUUGGAAGGAAGCUUUAUUUGUUAUUUUAUUAAAAUUAUUAUUAUUAUUAUUUCAAGACAGGGUCCUGCACUGUUGCCCAGGCUGGAGUGCAGUGGUACAAUUACAGUUCGUUGUAGCCUCCGACUCCUGGGCUCAAGUGAUCCUCCGGCUUCAGCCUCUUGAGUAGCUGGGACUAUAGGUGCAUGCCACCACAUCUAGCUAAUUUAAAAAAUACCCUGUAGAGUGAGCAUCUCCCUAUGUUGCCCAGGCUGGUCUCAAUCCUGGCCUCAAGGAUCCUGCUGCUUCAGCCUCCAGAGUGCCGGGAUGACAGGUGUGAGCCACCGCACCCAGCCUAGAAGGAAUCUUUAGAGAGUGAAAGACCUGGGUGGAAAUCCCAGCUCAACCCCUCAAAGCUGUGUGAUCCUGGGCAGGUCACUUACCUCUCUGAGCUCAGUUUCCUCGUCUAUAGAUAGAGGAUAAUGAUAGUGCCAUCCUUGUAAAGUUGUUUUGAGAAUCAAAUAGGAUUCUUUGAUUUGAAACAGCUCUGAAAGUUCAUCGGAGCCCCAGGGCUCCCUGCAGUAUUGUCUGGGCCCUUUGUAGCCACCGCAUCACAGUUCAAUUUCUCCCUCUGUCUAAUUCUGCUCUUUUUCUCCUUUUCAGAAAUCCCUACCGCUGAGUUCUGGUGGAAGGCAGUUAGUAUUGGAAGAGGUCAUGGGAAGCAGAUUUUUCAAUGGGAUUUUUGAGUUGCGUUACUUGCUGGGUCCAGCAAUGAGGCCCCCAUCCCUGGGAGGUAGGGGUCUGUUGUGCUAUAGCAGGGCAGUUGUUAAAACUCUCAGUCAUGGUGAACUGGGAUGGAAAAUCCACAGAAGGGAAUGCAUUGGCAGAUAUAUCUCAGCCAUUUGAGAGAUUUGGGGGAAGUAAUCAUUAUAAAAACUGUGGAGUCAGAUAGUGAUUGCUGGCCAGGCACAGUGGCUCACCCCUCUGUAAUUCCAGCACUUUGUGAGGCCACGAUGGGAGGAUCAUUUGAGGGCAGAAGUUCAAGACCAGCCUGGGCAACCUAGCAAGAUCCUGCCUCUACAAAAAAACGCAACCCAACCCAAACCAACUAAACAAACGAAAAACCAUCCAAGAAUGCCUGAAGACAUUUCUGUUGUCAUAAUUGUGGGGGAGGGGGAUGGCAUGGCUAUUGGUACCCAGGAGGUAGA
Molecule: long non-coding RNA, 1923 nt
Filed under: Homo sapiens (human)
Lineage: Eukaryota; Metazoa; Chordata; Mammalia; Primates; Hominidae
Description: non-protein coding lnc-UBIAD1-2:1
Source: RNAcentral